Molecule: transfer RNA, 74 nt
Filed under: Rugosimonospora africana
Lineage: Bacteria; Bacillati; Actinomycetota; Actinomycetes; Micromonosporales; Micromonosporaceae
Description: tRNA-Val
Rfam family: tRNA
About the family: Transfer RNA (tRNA) molecules are approximately 80 nucleotides in length.
Source: RNAcentral
GGCCGUAUAGCUCAGCGGGAUGAGCGCCGCCCUCACAAGGCGGAGGUCCCAGAUUCGAUCCCUGGUGCGGCCAC